This 207-nucleotide ribosomal RNA is filed under the name uncultured bacterium. RNAcentral describes it as "partial 16S ribosomal RNA". It matches the Rfam family "Bacterial small subunit ribosomal RNA", at positions 524 to 727 of the family's 1533-position model. The record is from RNAcentral.
GACAGAGGAGCCAAGCGUUGUCCGGAUUGACUGGGCGUAAAGCGCACGCAGGCGGCCCGGCGCGUGGGGUGUGAAGGCUGGCGGCUUAACUGCCAGACGCCAUCCCAUACGGCUGGGCUCGAGCCCUGCAGACGGUCCAUGGAAUUGCCGGUGUAGUGGUGAAAUGCGUGAGAAGAUCGGCAGGAACACCCAGGGGGAAACCAGUGG